Molecule: ribosomal RNA, 491 nt
Filed under: uncultured bacterium
Lineage: Bacteria
Description: bacterial SSU rRNA
Rfam family: Bacterial small subunit ribosomal RNA
Source: RNAcentral
AUGAACGCUAGCGGCAGGCUUAACACAUGCAAGUCGAGGGGCAGCAUGACACGGAGAUUCGUCGAAGUGUUGAUGGCGACCGGCGCAAGGGUGCGUAACGCGUGAGCAACUUGCCCGUUUCAGGGGGAUAACCGGUGGAAACGCCGACUAAUACCCCAUAGCAUCAACUUCAGGCAUCUUUAGUUGAUUAAAGAAUUUCGGAAACGGAUAGGCUCGCGUGACAUUAGCUAGAUGGCGGGGUAACGGCCCACCAUGGCGACGAUGUCUAGGGGUUCUGAGAGGAAGGUCCCCCACACUGGAACUGAGACACGGUCCAGACUCCUACGGGAGGCAGCAGUGAGGAAUAUUGGUCAAUGGUCGAGAGACUGAACCAGCCAUGCCGCGUGAAGGUCACGGCCCUAUGGGUCUUAAACUUCUUUUGUAAGGGAGCAAUAAGGUCUACGUGUAGACUGAUGAGAGUACCUUACGAAUAAGCAUCGGCUAACUCCGUG